GACGCUAUCGUAUAACGGUUAAUACACUUGCCCUUCACGCAGGGAACGCCGGUUCGAUUCCGGCUAGCGUUA
Saitozyma podzolica is the source of this 72-nucleotide non-coding RNA. NCBI's taxonomy places the organism in Eukaryota, Fungi, Basidiomycota, Tremellomycetes, Tremellales, Trimorphomycetaceae. The record is from the annotation of a GenBank genome assembly.